This 480-nucleotide ribosomal RNA is filed under the name Camptoceras hirasei. RNAcentral describes it as "partial 16S ribosomal RNA". It matches the Rfam family "Bacterial large subunit ribosomal RNA", at positions 1796 to 2620 of the family's 2925-position model. Lineage: Eukaryota; Metazoa; Mollusca; Gastropoda; Planorbidae. The record is from RNAcentral.
UCGCCUGUUUAUCAAAAACAUAGUUUAAAGAAAAUAUUUUAAAUUAAUCCUGCCCAGUGUAUUAUAUAAAUGGCCGCAGUACCUUGACUGUGCUAAGGUAGCAUAAUCAAUUGGCUUUUAAUUAAAGUCUGGAAUGAAUGGAUAAAUGAAGUCUUUCUGUCUUAUAAGUAUUUAUUUGAAUUUAUUUAAUAGGUGAAAAUACCUAAUUUUAGAAAAAAGACGAGAAGACCCUUAGAAUUUUUAAAAAUAAUUGGUAUAUCAAUUUAAUUUUUUUGUUGGGGCGACAAAUAAACAUUUAAACUUUAUUAAAAAUAUUUGACGAUUUUUUAUAGGAAAAAUUAAAUUACCUUAGGGAUAACAGCAUAAUUAAUUAAUUAGUUUGUGACCUCGAUGUUGGACUAAGAACUUUAUGACUAGCAGUCAAAAAAGAUUUGUUCUGUUCGAACAAUUUUAUCUUACGUGAUCUGAGUCCAGACCGGA